RNAcentral lists this long non-coding RNA (657 nucleotides) under Androctonus crassicauda. The record is from RNAcentral. Lineage: Eukaryota; Metazoa; Arthropoda; Arachnida; Scorpiones; Buthidae.
CAUCCAUUGACUGCUACAGAAUCAAAUGUGAUGGCAAAAGUUGAGCAGCUAUAGUUGAAAAUAGACAAGUGACAGUUAAUUUAUUAGCUAGAGAGACAAAUUUUGUAAGGGGUCAGUCUACAACAUAUAUUGCAUGCCAUAUUAUACAUGAGCAGGAUGGUUGCUCAGUGGGUUCUGAAGUUGAUGACACCUUUCCAAAAUAACAAUACAUGAAAUGUGCAAUAAAGCUUUUUGAAUUGGUACUACCAGAAUGAGGACAACUUUUUAUAAUAAUGAUUAUGGAUGAAUGCUGGCUUUACUUAUGACCCUAAGAUGAUAAAAAAAUGAGCAAAACAUGGAAACCUUCAAUUUCAGCCAAAGAGUAAGGUGCUGCAAUGAUCAACCAUGUCAUGUUGUGUGUUUUGGGACAGCAUAGGUUUCAUAUUGACAGAUUACUUACAGAAUGGGUCAGCAAUAAUGGGCAUACUAAUGAACUUCCUACAAAAGUUACAGGACAAUAUUGCAGUAGAUCUAAGCAAUUGCUGUCAAGAAAUGUUGCUGUGGCUGAUGAUAUACCUGCAUACCCAGCUGCUGAAACAGUCACUUUUCUGUGCAAAUACAGCUAUGAAAUCUUGUCCAAUCCCCUGAAUUCUCCUUAUCUGGCAUCUUCAGACUCCC